CCUACGGGAGGCAGCAGUGAGGAAUAUUGGUCAAUGGGCGGGAGCCUGAACCAGCCAUGCCGCGUGAAGGCGAGUGCCCUACGGGCGUUAAACUUCUUUUGUGCGGGAGCAAUAAGGGCCCCGUGUGGCCCGAUGAGAGUACCGCACGAAUCAGCCUCGGCUAACUCCGUGCCAGCAGCCGAGGUAAUACGGGGGAUGCGAGCGUUAUCCGGAUUUAUUGGGUUUUAAGGGUGCGUAGGUUGCGUUUCAGGUCCGCGGUGAAAUACCGGGGCUCAACCCCGGGGCUGCCGUUGAAACCGGAGCGCUAGAGUUCCGAUGCCGUCGGAGGAAUGUGUGGUGUAGCGGUGAAAUGCAUAGAUAUCACACAGAACACCGAUUGCGAAGGCAGCUGACGAAGCGAAGAUUGACGCUGAUGCACGAAAGCGUGGGGAUCGAACAGGAGUAGAUACCCGGGUAGUC
RNAcentral lists this ribosomal RNA (459 nucleotides) under uncultured bacterium. RNAcentral describes it as "partial 16S ribosomal RNA". It matches the Rfam family "Bacterial small subunit ribosomal RNA", at positions 338 to 795 of the family's 1533-position model. The record is from RNAcentral.